GUGGGGGAUAUUGCACAAUGGGGGAAACCCUGAUGCAGCGACGCCGCGUGAAGGAAGACGUACUUCGGUAUGUAAACUUCUAUCAGCAGGGAAGAAGAUGACGGUACCUGACUAAGAAGCCCCGGCUAACUACGUGCCAGCAGUCGCGGUAAUACGUAGGGGGCAAGCGUUAUCCGGAUUUACUGGGUGUAAAGGGAGCGUAGACGGUGAAGAAAGUCUGAUGUGAAAACCCGGGGCUCAACUCCGGGAUUGCAUUGGAAACUGUUUUACUUGAGUGCUGGAGGGGCAAGCGUAAUUCCUGGUGUAGCGGUGAAAUGCGUAGAUAUCAGGAAGAACACCGGUGGCGAAGGCGGCUUGCUGGACAGUAACUGACGUUGAGACUCGAAAGCGUGGGGAGCAAACAGGAUUAGAUACCCUGGUAGUCC
Molecule: ribosomal RNA, 425 nt
Filed under: uncultured bacterium
Lineage: Bacteria
Description: partial 16S ribosomal RNA
Rfam family: Bacterial small subunit ribosomal RNA
Source: RNAcentral